Molecule: ribosomal RNA, 431 nt
Filed under: uncultured bacterium
Lineage: Bacteria
Description: bacterial SSU rRNA
Rfam family: Bacterial small subunit ribosomal RNA
Source: RNAcentral
AACGCGAAGAACCUUACCAAGGCUUGACAUAUAGGGAAAAGUGGCAGAGAUGUCAUGACCGCAAGGGCUCUAUACAGGUGGUGCAUGGUUGUCGUCAGCUCGUGUCGUGAGAUGUUGGGUUAAGUCCCGCAACGAGCGCAACCCUCGUUCUGUGUUGCCAGCAUUUAGUUGGGGACUCACAGGAGACUGCCGGGGUUAACUCGGAGGAAGGUGGGGAUGACGUCAAAUCAUCAUGCCCCUUAUGUCUUGGGCUGCACGCAUGCUACAAUGGCCGGUACAGAGGGCUGCAAUACCGUAAGGUGGAGCGAAUCCCAAAAAGCCGGUCUCAGUUCGGAUUGAGGUCUGCAACUCGACCUCAUGAAGUUGGAGUUGCUAGUAAUCGUAGAUCAGCAACGCUACGGUGAAUACGUUCCCGGGUCUUGUACACACCG